Molecule: long non-coding RNA, 1080 nt
Filed under: Mus musculus (house mouse)
Lineage: Eukaryota; Metazoa; Chordata; Mammalia; Rodentia; Muridae
Description: long non-coding RNA chr18:36341635-36342715
Source: RNAcentral
CAAAACCUGAGUUGGGUGGUAACACUUAGGAGACGAUCAACACAGUCAGCCUGGUCUACAGACUGAGACCAAAGCCAGCUAAUGCUAAAUAGCAAGACCCUAUCUGAAAACCACUAUAACAAAUCAGAGAGCCUGGCUCCCCAAGCCAUGUUCCCCUUGACAAAUUGCUGCUACUUAAAUAGAGCAGUUGCCUCCUUUGCAUAAAGUUUGUUCUCCGGUUUACUGUAGUCCCCUCCACCCCCAGUCAUCUCUCAUCUGCAAGCUAGAAGAAAGUUAAAGCUAAAGGCAGGUAGGGGUCUAUGGACCUCAGCCUCCACCCUGCCACUUAAUUUCCAUGUUCCUCUGAAUAUGAUUUGCCUUUCUGACCUUUAAGGCAGGGUCACAUGUAUCCCAGGCUAGUUUCCAACUCAUUAUGUAGCCAAGGAUGGCCUGAACUCCUGAUCUUCCUGUCUCCACUUCCCCAAUGCUGACAGUUCAUUUUAGCCACCGCAACUGGCUAACUUGUAUUCCUCGUUGCUACAUUUCCAGAGCCUGAUAUAACCCCUGGCACAUGGCUGUUACUCUGCAAACGUGUUGGAUAUGUGGAUUUAAUGUCUCCCUACCUUUACCCUUAGUGUGUCCCAUACUACAUUAUCCUUGGCUUAUUUUUUAAAUAGAAAUGCAAAGGUUUACCAUUUCCAAAUUAUAUAUGCUGGUUUUCUUUCUUUUUCCUUUUUGUUUCUUUAAAAGGUUAAAGAGCAGGAAGAUGUUUCAGAGUUGUUGGGGCUUUAUUGUAGUCAGCUGAGACCCAGCCCAGGAGAAAAAUGUGCACUCCUCUGGGACUGGCUCCUCUAAGAUCACUAUCAGGAUGCCGGGCCAUGUAGGAAUCAAUGUUUCAGAGGGUUAGAGUUUGAAAUGCCUGCAUUUAUGUGCUACCCCUUGAGAGCCCCAGAGGCUGUACAAACACACUCAGGGCAUUAAGUGCUCCUUGAAGUGCCUUCCUCAGAAACUAUGCUUUCAGAGAAAGAUACAUUUCCGUAAAGCCAAACCCCAGUCCAUGGCUCUCAGUGGCUGUCUCCGAGUGCCGGAGGUGCCUCCCCA